This is a long non-coding RNA of Oncorhynchus tshawytscha (Chinook salmon), 1058 nucleotides long. The record is from Ensembl. Lineage: Eukaryota; Metazoa; Chordata; Actinopteri; Salmoniformes; Salmonidae.
CGAGCUCUGAAUGCUGAUUGGUCCGACAGCCGCGGUAUAUCAGACCGUAUAACACAGGUAUGACAAAACAUUUAUUUUUACUGCUCUAAUUAAGUUGGUAACCAGUUUAUAAUAGCAAUAAGGCACCUUGGGAGUUUGUGGUAUAUGGUCAAUAUACCACGACUAAAGGCUGUGUCCAGGCACUCUUGGUGCCUAAGAACAGCCCUUAGCCGUGGUAUAUUGACCAUAUACCACACCCCCUCGGGCCUUAUUGCUUAAUUAUACAAUGGUAGCAUGCUAUUUGUUUUAUUGUGUAAAACGAUUGUAUUUAACCAGAUGAUUUGCUCAACAUUAUGCUACUACCUGUACUGUAGCAUCAUUUAACUGUUAAUAUGUCUAUGAGCUCAUGGAAGCUUCCCUGUAGCAGUGCUAAACCAGGUCGAAGUGAAGCUUCCUUGUAGCAGUGCUAAACCAGGUUGAAGUGAAGCUUCCCUGUAGCAGUGCUAAACCAGGUUGAAGUGAAGCUUCCUUGUAGCAGUGCUAAACCAGGUUGAAGUGAAGCUUCCCUGUAGCAGUGCUAAACCAGGUUGAAGUGAAGCUUCCCUGUAGCAGUGCUAAACCACGUUGAAGUUAAGCUUCCCUGUAGCAGUGCUAAACCAAGUUGAAGUGAAGCUUCCCUGUAGCAGUGCUAAACCAAGUUGAAGUGAAGCUUCCCUGUAGCAGUGCUAAACCAAGUUGAAGUGAAGCUUCCCUGUAGCAGUGCUAAACCAAGUUGAAGUUAAGCUUCCCUGUAGCAGGGCUAAACCAGGUUGAAGUGUUGACUGAAGGUUGCAGGGCUAAACCCUCUGCUGCUAUGUACUAAAGCAGUGGUCUAAAAGGAAAAGGAAACCGCUCAGAUGUUUUAUUUACAUGACUUAAAAAAUGUAAGCCUAUGCAACAUUAACCAAUUAAAAACAGUCCUGUGGUAAUGAGGUUUGUGCAGUAAGCUAUAGUCCCAAUACACUAUCACUGUAUAUUGGCUAGGUUUGAAUUGCCCUGCCAAUGUUGUUUUUCAAUAGGACAUUCUAAAAUUAUAUUUC